CAAACGACAACAAGAUUCUCAGAGGGCGGAGCCAGAGAGCAGUGAUUGGUCAAACCAUAGAUAAUAUAGAAGGCAGCGCGCUAGCGUAUCUAGUCUAUGUAUAUCUAUGGUCGGCACGUCUGGUAGCAUCUCUGGCUGCUGUUGACCUUGUUUUUGGAGUAAAACACGGUGGAAGCUGAAUUAGUGAGGAUGACUCCUGUUCCUGUCAUCUCUAAGCUCCUCACACAUCUUUACCUGCACAUGAGGAAAAUCACUCCUGUAGAAUGCAGAUGUUCAGAGGGAGAUGAUGCCACAUCUGGUCCAGCUGAUGGAAGGUCUUGAAGUUCUCUGACUGGCCUGGACUGAAGAUGGUCGUCUCACUGGAUUUAAGGUUCAGAUGCUCAGUAACAAACUCCACCAAUGAGCCAACAGGGAAGCUUUAGGUUUAUUAAAUGUUGCUAUGAAGGUUUCGCUGUUUUUCUUUGUGAAUGCAAUGUGCUCCAACUGAAACUUGAAGUAGAACUUAGAAGUAAAUCCUUCCAUCUGAAAGGAUUUAGUUGCAUUGAUAACCUCAUAACAUUCUAAUUUUUAUUCCAGUCUUGGUUGGAAAUAGAAUCUCUGUAUUGAUUUAGGUAAAAACUGAACUUCACAGCAUGUUGAAGCAAAACAACCAGAUGAAAACUGUGAUGGUGUUGGAUUGUCAGACCGUAAUGUUGCAGCUCAAAGCAGCUUUUCUAUCUCAGUUCAUUCUGACAUUCAGCUAUGAAUCAACACAGCAGAUGGUGAUCCAUGCUGUGGAAGUCUCACAUCUCCUGAUUUAAUGGAGCUGCUUUGCACUUUUUACACUGUUUAUUCACCAACACUUUAUUUAAUAAAAGUCCCAUCUAGUUUUCAUGAGGAAUGUGAUGUUUUAAUUUCUCUGUGAAUAACUGCAGUCUAAUGCAACAGCUGGAGUUGUAACAUCUGUCCUGAUAUUGAUCAUGAAGUAUUGAUCAGAAUACUUAUGGUUAGCAGUCAUUCCUGAAGUUUUACAUUAAAAUCUUUACUUGUGUUGUGAACUUUGGUGAGAAGCAGAAACUUUAGCGUUGCCAUGGAUACAUGAGUGUUAAAUUCUGUCCAUGUUUCCAUUUUGGGAAAUGCAGUCCAGUUCCAGAAUGUGGAGGAAUUUAGUCUCACAAUCACAGACAACAAAUAUUAUCUGAAAGUUGGGUUAUUGUUGUUUAUCAGCACAAUACAAAAAGAUUAAUUUUAGAAAUUUCCAGUUAAGACUCUAGAAUAUCAUGAUUUAUGUAAAUUUAACUCAAUAAUAUGAAUGUUCAGGUUAAGAUUGUACAGUGAUAUUUAUUAUGUAAGUUUAGCUGAUUAAAGUUUAUGACUGCACAAAAAUAUUAUUUAAAUUUACAUCAUUAUUAUAAUAUUUAGGGUCAGACCCUACAGUAUUGAGAUUAAGAAAUCAAAUAUUCUAUAAAAUGUAAAUACACUGAACUCAUUUGGAUAUAUUUAAGUGAGACUCUACAAUAUUAUUUGACACAAAUCUAUCUAAAUCAAAAUUUUAGUUAUUUUUAUUCCAAACAUUUACUGGACUGAUUUAAAUAUUAAAAUCACUCCUUUCUAAUCCUCUGCUGUACGUUCAAACCUGAGGCCUUAAAUAGAAACACACAAGUAUCUGAUUGAAGGAACUUCUGCAGAGUCCUGGUUCCAGAACAUGAUGAUAGAAUUAUAAACAAACUUUAACAAAAGCUGCCUGAGAGUUUACAGGUUUUUAUGUUAGAUUUCUUCAGUAAUUUAAUGAGCGUUAUCAGCAAAAAUCAAGUGUUCAUUUGAUGAACUUCAUUUCCUAAAACAUCCAGAAUUGGAGCUCAUAUCUUUGGCAGCUGUAAAGUUUCUGCUCCUUCAAAGUUCACAACACAAUGAAUGAAUUCCUAAAACACUCUCAAUGCUGGAGAGCAUUUGUGAUGCUGAAGCAGUGACCAGUUUUUCUGUUUCUUCUCUGGAGAUGCACAAUGAGGGACGUCUGCAGAGACUGAGAAAGAGUCUCACCACAUCCUGACAUGAGGAAAAAGACUUUAUUGAAGACUACAAUGAGAAAAACUAUCAGAUAGCAGACGGCUGCAUUCAAGUUUAGGCUGUUAGAUUGUUCCAGAUAAGACAAGUACAAGAUUCUUCAGAGCCGUUCUACCACGAGCCUGACAGGAAGAACUCCAACAGCUACUGAAUGUUCCUGUGGUUCCCUCAAGGCUACAGGAGGAGCCCUAUGAGGACGAGCCGGUCCACCUGAUGGAGGCCAGUCGCUGUGGUUCAAAGCCAACACCGACUACGUGGACUUCUACUGGACCACAUGGAGGCCUUCAAACCGGACCAACAAGUUCAGCGACUCCCCGACUCGUGGGUCUGAGGACGCCGCCGAGCCUCGGUCCAGCCGGCCUCCUGUCUGUGGGAUGUUUGAGUGCUGAGAGGUUUUUGGAUGGAUGUGAACAUGUCUGUGUUUAAACAGCAGCUUUGGACUCAGUAACGCUGGGAAAAACCAAGAGCUCCUUUAUUUGUGACUUCCACUAAAAAAAAGAUGAAAAUAACCUUUUAAACCUUUUAGGUAAAUGUUCCAGGAUGUUGGGUAGAAUAUACCAUCAGAUCAACCUUUUAGGUCUACAUUGGAAGAUUUUAGAGUAGAAUAUUACUCCAAACCAUCCUUUAGGUCUACAUUUAAGGUGGAAUACUACUUUACACCAAGAUUUUUUUGGUCUACAUUGAAGGAUUUUAGGUGGAAUAUUCCUUUGAACGAACUUUUUAAAUUUAUGUUCAAGGAUGUUGGGUGGAAUAUACCAUCAGACCAACCUCCAAGGUCUAUAGUAGUGAAUUUUGGGUGGAAUAUACCAUUAAACUCACCUUUUA
This is a long non-coding RNA of Amphiprion ocellaris (clown anemonefish), 2868 nucleotides long. The record is from Ensembl. NCBI's taxonomy places the organism in Eukaryota, Metazoa, Chordata, Actinopteri, Pomacentridae.